GUUUAGAUUUGCAUGCCCAUUGAAUAGAUUUCUCCCCAGUUUGCUUAGCAUCAAGAAUCUGGGGGAGAAACUUCCUCUUACUUUGGAUUAGAGGGAGAAAAACUCCUGAGGUUAUAUUUUCUGGUCUGCUUAGAACUGCUUUCUGAUUCCUUUCAUUUGCUUUUUAUUUUCAGAUGCUAGAGAAAAUAGAAAUCACCUGGAAUAAAAAGAUGCUGAGAACUGCUGGCUUAUGCACCACUAGUGAGACAUGACACCCCAAAAGGGAGCGCUAUGCCAAGAUCGAGAUUUCUCUGAAAGUCUGUGACUCUGCAGGUGAUGAUGGCAGGAGUAUGGCAGCUUUACUGCAGUGCUAUCUCUUUUUGACAUUGCACCUGUUAAUUACUCUUAGCUGGCAGCCUAUGUCAAGUUGAACUGCCAUUCUUGGGUGAACAAACCUAUCAUGUGUUGCUUGGGGGAUAUUACCAUUGUAUGCCUCAUCAUUCCUGAGAAUCCAACUCAUCAAUCUACCAAGUCUACCUUUCUGUCUACAUUUUCCACUUGCCAGAGGCAGCGUCUCUAUUCUCUCACUAGGUGAGGUUCCCGAUACCCCUAUAUAUAGCCAAUUACCAAAUCUUCCUUCAUCUUGACUCUCCUGUUGUCAUUCCUUUUCCAUCUCUGCCUCCACCCAGAUAUGGGUCCAUAUCCCCUCAUUCUUUUCCUUGCUGCAUUCAGUCUCCUGCACACCACUAUGUUGCUUUCCUAGUAGGAAACCCAGGGCUUUUCAAUGCCUAGAGACUGACUUUUGAGGCCAUUGUAAUCUGCCCUCACUCCACUUAACUGGUCCUGUCCCUCACUAUUCCACUACUAGCUCAUGCUCCAACUGGGAUUUCUUCUCAGCCCUCAAAAUGUACCACAUGCUUUCUCGCCUCAACCUUUGCUCCUUUCACCUUCCCUUCCAAUGGCUUUGCUAGCUUUGUAAAUCCAAUCAUUUGUCAAGGGCUCAGCUCAGAUCCCAAUCUUGCUAUGGAAUUUCUAACCAAAUCCCAAGGCCCUAAGGAUUACUCCCCCUCCCCAACCCUGGUCACUUAUGUUCCCCGAGGACAGAAACCAAGUCUUGUCCAGGUGUAUCUUUAGCAGCACCCCACAAAAAGAUGAACACGUCGGAGCUCCUCCAAAAAGACCUGCUCACCUAAAGUUCUCUGUCAUUAACAAAAUUGGGUUGAAGUGGGCGGAAGUUUCACUUUCAGAAUCUUGGGAAGGUAACACUCAUGACUGCCUGUGAAUACUUACGUAAGAGGCUUUGUGUCUAGUGGUGGUAAAAGUUGAAGGGUUGGGUAGCAGAUCAGAAGCAAAUUGGUUUUAGUGCUCACAGUUUCUUUUCAAUCUUUUUCCAAGACCGCCUCCGUGAUACUUUGAUCCAUGAAAUAUGCCAUGCAGCUUCCUAGCUGCUUGAUGGUGUCCGAGAUUCUCAUGGUGAUGCAUGGAAGUAUUAUGCAAGAAAAUCCAAUGCGGUGCACCCCGAGCUGCCCAGGGUCACUCGUUGCCAUAACUAUACAAUUAACUACAAGAUUAAUUAUGAAUGUACUCAGUGCAAAACCAGGUAAGACCUGUCCCCUCAGACUUUCCAGUCUGGCCUCUAAGUGGCUCUUGUAGUGACUAUAGGAAUAAAUUGAAGGGUGUCUGAUUUGAAGAGUGAACCUAUUUCUUUCCAUGUUCUCUUUCUCGAUUCCCUAUUCCUUUUUUUCUUUUUUGUUUUGUUACUGGGGAUUGAUUCCAGGGACACUUUACCACUAGGCUACAUCCCCAGCCCUUUUUUAAAAAUUUUGAGACAGCAUCUCACUAAGUUGCUUUGUGUCUUGCUAAGUUGCUGAGGCUGGUCUCAAACUUGCCAUCUUCCUGCCUCAGCCUCCCAAGUCACUGAAAUUACAAGAAGUGCCACCACACCGAGCCCUUAUUCCUGUAUUCCUGUUUCUGUCCCCUAACCUUCUCUAUAUUACUCUUAUCCCUAAUUUGAGCUAGCCCAACCCCUCUGCUGCUUGUGGCCCCAUUCUCUGAGAACCUGCAGGAAAUUUUCUCUUUGUGCUCAAGGCUAACAUCUCAGAGCUAAUGCUGAGGUACAGUGACUGAUUUCUUUGUUGUGUAAUGUCCCUUUUCUCACUAGGGUUGGCCACUACACCAAAUCGUUGAACACAGAACGCUUUAUCUGUGCCAGAUGCAGAGGGCCCCUGGUCAUGCUGCCAUUAACUCGUAAAGAUGGAACCCCCAUUGAGCCCCAUGUGAGACCAUUUGCCAAAUAUGUGCAGGAGAAUUACCGAGUGGUGUUUCAAGGGACAGCUGGGAUCAGCCAUGGGGAUGUGAUGAGAAAGCUCAGCAAGGAUUAUGUUGCCAGUAAACAAAAGAAGAAUCCUUAGAGUAUGUUUAUAUGAGCUGAAUCCUUUACUGAUGAAAAGUUUUAGAAAAAAGUCUCUAUUAUUGUGCAGUUAUGAAUAUUAGAGUUUAAAUACAUGUUUUAAGAUUCUUGUUAUUCAUGAUUUUUGUUCUUAACUAAGGGUUCUAUUGCUAGUCAUUUUGUCCAGGACCAUACCCUGAAACAUUCCGGAUCCACCUUGGGUCUUAUUUUGAAUGCAAGUUUUAAAAUGUAGAAGAAAAUAGAGAAGAAAAAUGAGUUUUUGAGAGUGGCAGGUUGAGAGAAUGAAAAGGAUACUGGGAAGAGAACAAGUUUUAAAAGCAGCAGUUUACACAGGACUGUUGUCAGAUGUAACCUGCUAAACCCACCUAGACAGAAAAGACAAACAUGUUGUUGAAUUCAAUUGCUGAUGACAUUGAGUGAAGCUGUCAAGCUGUAUAAUUAUUCAACAAAUAAAAUGUUUUUGCAUCUCACUCAUUAGCAAA
RNAcentral lists this long non-coding RNA (2871 nucleotides) under Marmota monax (woodchuck). Lineage: Eukaryota; Metazoa; Chordata; Mammalia; Rodentia; Sciuridae. The record is from RNAcentral.